AAGGGAACAUCGCCGUUUGGAAAGUGUCGUGAUAUGAUACACAAGUUGUGCUGCCUCUGUGGCUCUAAGGCAUACCACCUUCAGAAGUCAACCUGUGGCAAAUGUGGCUCCCCUGCCAAGCGCAAGAGAAAGUGUAACUGGACUGCCACGGCUAAAAGAAAAUACCACGGCGACUGGUUGAAUGAAGCACCUAAACAUUGUAUACUGCAGAUUUAGGCAUGGAUUCUUUGCAGGAACAACACCUACACCCAAGAGGGCAGCAGUUGUGUCAUCCAGUUCAUCU
This 283-nucleotide long non-coding RNA is filed under the name Homo sapiens (human). RNAcentral describes it as "non-protein coding lnc-COL2A1-3:2". The record is from RNAcentral. Lineage: Eukaryota; Metazoa; Chordata; Mammalia; Primates; Hominidae.